RNAcentral lists this ribosomal RNA (234 nucleotides) under Methanobacterium sp. enrichment culture clone 1. RNAcentral's name for it is "partial 16S ribosomal RNA". It matches the Rfam family "Archaeal small subunit ribosomal RNA", at positions 241 to 475 of the family's 1478-position model. The record is from RNAcentral. Lineage: Archaea; Methanobacteriati; Methanobacteriota; Methanomicrobia; Methanomicrobiales; Methanomicrobiaceae.
GUAAAUGCCCACCAAGCCAGUAAUCUGUACGGGUUGUGAGAGCAAGAGCCCGGAGAUGGAACCUGAGACAAGGUUCCAGGCCCUACGGGGCGCACGAGGCGCGAAACCUCCGCAAUGCGAGCAAUCGCGACGGGGGAAACCCAAGUACCACUCUUAACGGGGUGGUUUUUCUGAAGUGUAAAAAGCUUCAGGAAUAAGAGCUGGGCAAGACCGGUGCCACCCCCCGCGGUAAAA